This 72-nucleotide transfer RNA is filed under the name Camelus bactrianus (Bactrian camel). It matches the Rfam family "tRNA". From Rfam's summary of the family: Transfer RNA (tRNA) molecules are approximately 80 nucleotides in length. Their secondary structure includes four short double-helical elements and three loops (D, anti-codon, and T loops). RNAcentral also lists the same sequence under 2 other names. Lineage: Eukaryota; Metazoa; Chordata; Mammalia; Artiodactyla; Camelidae. The record is from Rfam by way of RNAcentral.
GUGGGUUUAGCUCAGUGGAAGAGCAUGUGUUUAGCAUGCACGAGGUCCUAGGUUCAAUCCCCAGUACCUCCA